GAAAUUAAGGGUGCAGCAAGUUGGAAAAGCUGCUCGAGCAUAAUGCAUUUUUUAAAGAAUUCUGCCGUUGAUGAUGUCACUUCUUUGUUUACUUUUGUCAAUGUCAUAUUUGUUACAAGAUGAAACCAAAAUAUACCCAGGUCCGGCUAAAUAAGGAGAAAAAAAGGUUCCAGGAGGAGGGAGGAGACAAUGUGAGAGAAAGUUCACAUUUAGCUGGUGAGGAUUUUAAAGAAUUUCGAAGACUAUUAGCUAGCUAGACAAUCUAACUUAAUACAGUAGCUAGAUGUCUAUUUUGACAUCUAUCUCUUCUGGCAUUUAAAUCUCUUUAUCCAGCAUUCCCAGCCCCCAGUCUUGCAGGAGAAGGGGCUAUGCCCCUUCCUCAGAAUGGUCAGAUCACUGCCCUCCCCCCACCAGGUCUCAGUAGAAAGUACCCCCUACCUCAACCCACUCUCUCAGCCAAGACCAAGAUUUGGAUGCCAGUGCAAGAGACCUGGAAAGGAGAACCUUAUGACAAGCCUUUGCUCAAAUACACAAUAGCCCUCCCUAUUGGCAGGCGCCACUGUAGACCUCGUCCAAUAAAACGACCCGUCCCCAACCCUUCCCCCAACCUGACUAAUAAAAGAGUGAAGUUUAAACAUCCCGAGGCCACCCUCCGUUUUAUCCCAGUGAGGCCAGACUUAGAGCAGCUCACCAGGCAGAGAACCCUCCCUGGUGGUCAGUUGGUUAGACCUGUGACACCCAGACCACCAUCACGCAAGCAGCCCCCCUCUGCAGACCAUAGCCCCCUAGACAGUAUCCACUCACACAGAUCCCUUGCUAAGGUGCAGGCUGCUGGAGGUGAGGACAGGGGAGGCGGAGGAGAUGGUGCCUCCCUAUCCCGCUCUGUCAGGGAUUUGCAAUUGCUUAGCUCCAGCUCCGACGACGAGGAUUCUGAGUCUCCUUCUGAGUCCCAGUUCCGAUGCACCACUCCGGCCUACCUUACCCGCCGCUACCAGAACAGUUUGAAAUGGUACCAGGCGGUGCGCAGCGAGAAGAAGACCAAACAUCACAAGGAGAGGCUUGACCAGCUUUGCUAUAAGGAGGCAUCAGAAGAGUCUAAUGCUGAAAGAGGCCCCUCGGGUGUCCAGGCGAGACACACCGCCCCUCUGGGUGCUGGGGAGGGGAGGUCUGUCUGUAAACCCUACCAGGGAGGAAAGAGGAGAAGGAGUCCGCCGUCAGAGAAAGGUUGCUUACCCCCAGCCAGGUGAGGAGAUGGGACCGCCGGUCAUGGCGCCGACAGCUAGACAGCAGUGCCUCGGACUCCCCAGCAUCUGAUGGCAGUGUCAUGCUCAGCCCACUCUAUACCCACUCCCCCUUCCUCUCUCCCACAGCUACCAGCACUCCUCCCCACCCUGCUCCUCUUUCUAACACAUCUCCCAACAUCCCAAUAUUUUCCCCUUCCUUCUCUCUCAGUACGCCUUCCAGUUGUCCUAGCACGCCACUUUACCCCCACUCUUUCACCUCCAGUGCCCCUGGCACCCCAUUACGAAGUCAGGUGACAUCUUCCAGUGCCCCUUGUACCCCAUUACGAAGUCAGGUGACAUCUUCCAGUGCCCCUUGCACCCCAUUACGAAGUCAGGUGACAUCUUCCAGUGCCCCUGGCACCCCAUUACGAAGUCAGGUGACAUCUUCCAGUGCCCCUGGCACCCCAUUACGAAGUCAGGUGACAUCUUCCAGUGCCCCUGGCACCCUACAACAUGGUACCUUUCACAGGGAGUCAUCGUUCCACACCAGGAGUAACAUCUCAGGAAGUAGGACUACAUGUUGUGGGCUGGAGAGCUGUCUACCAUUAGCUAAAGGGACAGUAACCAGUUCCAACCCUGAAGACUCAGUAACAAGCCCUAAAGCUAGAUGCCAAGCGGACAACACUCCAUACCCAGACAUGUUCAAUAUUAAAGGAGAUACAGCGAAGAAAGAUGAUUCUGAGAUGAGAAGGUGCAGUGAAAUGAAGAAGACUUCAACACCAAAGGAAAUGUCUGAAAAAUGUUCUCCUGCCAGAGCUAAGACUUCCAUAUCAUCACAUGCCAGUCCCACUCUGAAAGAAUCUAAGAUUCCACAAGCUGACCCACGACUACGAAAAUCAAUGAAAUCAUCAGCCUCACCUGAUGUUUCUUCAACUGAGCUCGACCGUGGGACGCCCAUCCCAGGGAGUAAGCUAACACUCACCUCCAUCUUUUCCUACCCUUAUGAUAUACCACAGCUCAAAAGCAGUCCACUUAAAAGCCCUGAGAAGUCAUCUCCUCAAUCAACUACAGCACACCAGAAGCACAAGUCUCAAGAUAAGACAAGUCCUAAGAAAAGUCCUAAAACCAAGACCUCUGAUUCACCUAAAUUAACAUCUGCACCUUCUUUGUCAGAGAAGCAAACAGACAAAACUGAGAGUAAUUUCAAGAAACCAUCAAAACCUCAGAGUGUUGUUAGUAGUAAGGCAGACUCUGCAGUGUCACAACAUGUUCUAUCCACAAAAACUACAAAAAAAAGUGCUGGAGGGAGCCGGCCAACCAUCAAGACUUCUCCUUGUGACCCUAGUCUUAAAACUAAAUGUUCUGCUAACAAUGCUUGUGUGCCAAAACCAAAGGAGGAGAGUGAGAGACCUCCCCUUCCUAGCCUUAGAAGAUUGAAGCAGGUAUUUACAGGCCUUUAUCAGCAGAGGACUGUGGUGGCUAAACCCUCCAGCGAAUUGAAUGGGGUGCCGACUGACACACAUAGGCUGUUUAAGACCCCUUCAACCAAGACCUCCUCCCCUAAGACCCACUCCCCCAAGACUCCCUCAUCCAAGACCAGCUCCCCCAAGACUCCCUCAUCCAAGACCAGCUCCCCCAAGACUCCCUCAUCCAAGACCACCUCCCCCAAGACACACUCACUCAAAACCCCCUCUCCCAAGACCCACUCCCCCAAGAAGCCUCAGACUAGAGUUCUUCACAGAUUCACCCAGGAUCCGAGGAUCCGAGAUCCGAUCCAGGAUCAGAGCCCAUCUAUGCAGCCCACCUCCAGCACCUCCAGCAACAACCCAGAAGGGAGACCUGCAGCCUCAACCUCAAUUCUGGGCAGGAGUUUAGAGCUAAAAAUUAGUCAAGGUUUCCAGAAACCAGACACACCCAGGCCAAAGAGCUACUCCCCCAAGAGCAAACCAACAGGGAUUUCACUGAACUAUAGGGGUACUGGUACUCCUUUCCGGGGAAGUGAGGGGAAUCUAACAACUACCCCCACUUCUAGGGGCCUGGCAAUCCCCCAUGACUGUCCAUCUCAGACCAGUUCUCUGAGUAAAGCCUCAUAUUCUGCCAAAUUACCAUGGGAUGGAAAGAGGGACAGAGAGAGAGAGAGGGACAGGGAGAGAGAGAGGGACAGGAAGAGAUGGGAGAGAGAGAGGGAGAGAUGGGAGAGGGAAAGGUGUCCACCCUCACCGAGACACCCUCACCCAGCACGUGGCCCAAUUCCACAGCCGAGCCGGGAGGAUCAUCCUAAAGAAUGCUUUAGAAAGAAAGACAAAACUACUACAGGACAGGAGGACUUUAGAACUAAAGUCAAAAUACCAUGGGCACCAACUCAAAAACCCUCUAGCUCUCACAAGAGUUGGCCAAGUGUACCCUCACCCUGCCAGAAUCCUCCACCUGCGAGAAAUGGCCCCCAGUCAUACUCCAAAAAUAUCAAAGGCGCGCACUCACCCUCAGCUCAGACUAAAUCUAAAGUACCAGGGGAGAAGACAGACUCUCAGCACAUCAGCUCCCCCCCUACAACACAGAAGGUCCCUCAGGAGUCAGUGUCCCCUCCCCUGUCCCCCCGCUUCAGACCCGGCCCCAGCAGUCCGGAGCUCAUCCAUGCCAUUGUGAGUGCCAUGGGCUAUCUGCUUGGUGUGCCACCCACCUCCAUCCCUGGCCUCUGCCCUUCACCUGAAGACCCUGGUACGUCCUCCACCACUGACCCAUCAGCUUUUAACUCAGAACCCAUCCAGCCCCCCUGGACUGAAGAACUACGACUCAUCCGGCAAAGACUCAGUGAGCCUGGCUUAGGGCUCAACCCCCAGCCUCCAGACCACACCCAACCAGCCUCCAGACCACACCCAACCAGCCUCCAGACCACACCCAACCAGCCUCCAGUCCACACCCAACCAGCCUCCAGACCACACCCAACCAGCCUCCAGAACACACCCAACCAGCCUCCAGACCACACCCAACCAGCCUCCAGACCACACCCAACCAGCCUCCAGACCAAAGGACACACACACACAGGACAGAGGGAAGAGAGGCCUGCACAAUCAAUGGCACCAUCACUGAGAAAGAAUACAAAGAUGUGAGAAGAGAUAGGAUGAAGAUGAGGAUACUGUAGCAUGCUACACUGCAGAGCUGCAAGGAGUCAGAGAGCAGCUGUUCAGACAGGACUUGACUGACUGACUGGUGGAAUCAGAAGAUGUUCACGUUAACAGGGUGAACAUCUGCUCAUACACCUGGGUUGUGUUUCUAACUCUUUCUCUGGAUAUAAUUAUCUAAUAAAUACCGAGUCAAAUACUUUAUGUACAUAUUCAUUUGCUGUAAGGUACUGGCAGUUCAGCUCUUUGAAUUGAUGAUUCCAAUGCUUGUGAUACUGGUUUAAUUUUUAGAUGGAUUUGAUCUUGCUUUCAUUUUGACAAGCAGUUAGUUGAAAAAUACAGGAAGCUGGGCAAGCUGAAGGUUGCACAUGUGACCACAGGAGGGCAGUCUCAUCCCAACCUAAUGCAAAUCCUAGUCAUAAUGAAGGGAGAAAUGAAAUCUUAAUGUACAGAUUGUCAAAUUGUCAAAACAAAUGUACAGAGCACUGUGCUUCUGAAUCAUUUCUAUGUGGAUAUUGAACAAAAAUACAACUUUUGAGUUAUGGAGGAGCCUAAAUCUAUAAGACAUUUUGUUUAGGUUUGUUUGGAUGAUAAGUUAACAUGACAAGCUGAUAUGCUUAGCCUACAGCACAGACAAACUCUUGUCUGAGGUUUCUUUAUUAACCAUUCAGUCACGAUAUUAACCAUCCAGUCACAAUAUUAACCAUCCAGUCACAAUAUUAACCAUCCAGUCACAAUAUUAACCAUCCAGUCAUGAUAUUAACCAUUCAGUCAUGAUAUUAACCAUCCAGUCAUGAUAUUAACCAUUCAGUCAUGAUAUUAACCAUCCAGUCAUGAUAUUAACCAUUCAGUCAUGAGCCAACUACAUUUCCUCAUGUCAGAUAGUGCAACGAC
Oncorhynchus tshawytscha (Chinook salmon) is the source of this 5239-nucleotide long non-coding RNA. Lineage: Eukaryota; Metazoa; Chordata; Actinopteri; Salmoniformes; Salmonidae. The record is from Ensembl.